UACGUAGGUCCCGAGCGUUGUCCGGAUUUAUUGGGCGUAAAGCGAGCGCAGGUAGUUUAUUAAGUCUGGUGUGAAAGGCAGUGGCUCAACUAUUGUAUGCAUUGGAAACUGGUAGACUUGAGUGCAGGAGAGGAGAGUGGAAUUCCAUGUGUAGCGGUGAAAUGCGUAGAUAUAUGGAGGAACACCGGUGGCGAAAGCGGCUCUCUGGCCUGUAACUGACACUGAGGCACGAAAGCGUGGGGAGCAAACAGG
This 252-nucleotide ribosomal RNA is filed under the name uncultured bacterium. RNAcentral's name for it is "partial 16S ribosomal RNA". It matches the Rfam family "Bacterial small subunit ribosomal RNA", at positions 524 to 776 of the family's 1533-position model. The record is from RNAcentral.